GAUGAACGCUGGCGGCGUGCUUAACACAUGCAAGUCGAACGGAAAGGCCCUGCUUUGGUGGUGUGCUGGUGGGGCGAACGGGUGAGUAACACGGGAGUAACCUGACCUAGACUUUGGGGUAAACUCAGGAAACUGGGGCUAAUACCGGAUAAGAGCUCCUGAUCCAUUGGGUGGGUUGGAAAGUUUGGGCGGUCUGAGAUGGACUCGCGGCUUAUCAGCUUGUUAGUUGGGUAGUGGCGUACCAAGGCAUAGACGGAUAGCCGGCACGAGAGGGUGAACGGGGACAUUGGGCCUGAGAUACGGAGCAGUCGCCUACGGGAGGCAGCAGGGGGGAAUCUUGCACAGCGGGCGGACGCGUGUUGCAGCAACGCUGCGUGCGUGAUGACGGCCUUCGGGUUGUAAACAGCUUUGGCAUGAGACGAAGCGUGCGUGACGGUAACGGGUAAAGAAGCAACGGCUAACUACGUG
This 468-nucleotide ribosomal RNA is filed under the name uncultured bacterium. Its description in RNAcentral is "partial 16S ribosomal RNA". It matches the Rfam family "Bacterial small subunit ribosomal RNA", at positions 28 to 507 of the family's 1533-position model. The record is from RNAcentral.